GCUAGCUUCGGCAACACUUAUAAUAAAAUGGGAAAGAUACAGAGAAGAUUAGCAUGGCCCCUGUGCGUGGGUGACAUGCAAAUUUGGGAAGCAUUCCACUUGUUU
Molecule: small nuclear RNA, 105 nt
Organism: Grammomys surdaster
Lineage: Eukaryota; Metazoa; Chordata; Mammalia; Rodentia; Muridae
Source: RefSeq, a predicted model, not a curated record